This 609-nucleotide unclassified non-coding RNA is filed under the name Hevea brasiliensis (rubber tree). Lineage: Eukaryota; Viridiplantae; Streptophyta; Magnoliopsida; Malpighiales; Euphorbiaceae. The record is from RNAcentral.
GCACAACUGAUAUCCCGCAACCCAACAUCACCAUCGGGUCCCCAACUCUCACCUUCUCUCCUCUCAUUUCUACCAGCGUAGUCGAUCUCCAUGUAUAAAGCCGCGACCGCCCCAUUCGGAAUCGCCAGAUCUGCUGCUCUUCUCGGUGCUGUUCGCUUUUCCUCCUCCGCCUCUUCCUCACCUCUCUCCCGAGCCCUAGCCGCCUCUUCGCACCUUCCCCGGCCGUCGUCGUUGAUCGGUUCGAGAUCGAUCAGCUUUGCUCGAUCCUGCUCCCAGUUCCCCCGUCUCGCACCUGCUGCGUGGCGGCACGGUUCGGAUUGGGGGUCUCCGAUCAGCCUUCGAGCCCAGUCCCGGAGCUCCGCCGCCUUGAUCCAGCGCUUCGAGCGGAAGAUCGCUACCAUGGCUGCCGAUCAUCCUUUCAAGGACAUAUUGACCAGUCUCCCAAAGCCCAGUGGCGGUGAAUUCGGAAAGUACUACAGCUUCUCUGCUCUUAAUGACCCCAGAAUUGAUAAACUGCCGUACUCUAUCCGGAUUCUUCUUGAGUCUGCAAUCCGGAACUGCGACAACUUCCAGGUCACCAAGAAUGAUGUCGAGAAAAUUAUUGAUUGG